CAAUGUUUAAUACCAUAAGUCGAAGGUUGGGAUUUAUUUCAAGGGGUAAUUGGGAAAACAGUCUAGGAAUUGAGGGCCAAAAAGGGGCCAAAACAAGCAUUUUUCUAGUUUUAAGACAAUAACUUGUGUGUAACUGUAUGGAUCUCUCUGACAUUGUACCACAAGUUUCCAUAUAACACAAGGAAGACUGGGAUUCAGUUUGGGG
RNAcentral lists this long non-coding RNA (205 nucleotides) under Mytilus galloprovincialis (Mediterranean mussel). Lineage: Eukaryota; Metazoa; Mollusca; Bivalvia; Mytilida; Mytilidae. The record is from RNAcentral.